UGGGGAAUUUUGGACAAUGGGCGCAAGCCUGAUCCAGCCAUGCCGCGUGUCUGAAGAAGGCCUUCGGGUUGUAAAGGACUUUUGUCAGGGAAGAAAAGGCUGUCGCUAAUACCGACAGUUGAUGACGGUACCUGAAGAAUAAGCACCGGCUAACUACGUGCCAGCAGCCGCGGUAAUACGCAGGGUGCAAGCGUUAAUCGGAAUUACUGGGCGUAAAGCGAGCGCAGACGGUUACUUAAGCAGGAUGUGAAAUCCCCGGGCUCAACCUGGGAACUGCGUUCUGAACUGGGUGACUAGAGUGUGUCAGAGGGAGGUAGAAUUCCACGUGUAGCAGUGAAAUGCGUAGAGAUGUGGAGGAAUACCGAUGGCGAAGGCAGCCUCCUGGGAUAACACUGACGUUCAUGCUCGAAAGCGUGGGUAGCAAACAGGAUUAGAUACCCUGGUAGUCCACGCCCUAAACGAUGUCAAUUAGCUGUUGGGCAACUUGAUUGCUUAGUAGCGUAGCUNACGCGUGAAAUUGACCGCCUGGGGAGUACGGUCGCAANANUA
RNAcentral lists this ribosomal RNA (549 nucleotides) under uncultured bacterium. Its description in RNAcentral is "bacterial SSU rRNA". It matches the Rfam family "Bacterial small subunit ribosomal RNA", at positions 355 to 896 of the family's 1533-position model. The record is from RNAcentral.